UACGAGGGGGGCAAAUGUUGUUCGGAAUCACUGGGCGUAAAGGGAGCGUAGGCGGGUUUUUAAGUCAGGUGUUUAAUCCCGGGGCCCAACCCCGGACAGGCACUUGAAACUGGGAAUCUUGAAUAGUGGAGAGGUCGGUGGAAUUGGGGGUGUAGCGGUGGAAUGCGUAGAGAUCCCCAAGAACACCCGUUGCGAAGGCGGCCGACUGGACACAUAUUGACGCUGAGGCUCGAAAGCAUGGGGAGCGAACAGG
This 253-nucleotide ribosomal RNA is filed under the name uncultured bacterium. Its description in RNAcentral is "partial 16S ribosomal RNA". It matches the Rfam family "Bacterial small subunit ribosomal RNA", at positions 524 to 776 of the family's 1533-position model. The record is from RNAcentral.